Molecule: long non-coding RNA, 2837 nt
Organism: Alosa alosa (allis shad)
Lineage: Eukaryota; Metazoa; Chordata; Actinopteri; Clupeiformes; Clupeidae
Exons: 2
Source: RefSeq, a predicted model, not a curated record
CUGGAGUGCAUUUUAACAGCUUCUGAUUGGCUUCUACAGUAGGUUCUCUGGAGGGUUCGGAGCCCGGGACUACAGGCAGACGAGCGGCACCGGAGGCAGCAGCGCCGGCAGCGGCGGCGGCUUUGGAGGCCGAGGCGGCCGCAGCACCGGGGGCCACGGAGGAAAUCGUGGAUUUGGUGGUGGUGGUGGUGGCUUUGGGAAUUUCUACGGCAAUGACGGAUAUGGAGGAAGCUACUCUCACUCGCAAGUGGACUGGUGGGGCAAUUAAUAAUUCAAAUGCCCCGAAUUUUUCAGACCUCCACUCGAUACAUGUUGAUGGGCUCAUACAGCCCUAUUUGCUGAAUGAGAACCACAUGUUAGCCAGUUUGAAUAACCAUAUGUAGCUUGAGGACCCUAUCCGUACAUUAUAAGUUGUGAUUCUUUGUGAUGACUUGGUUGGGGGGAAAAAAAUUGUGGCACGCAUCACAAGAACAUAUCCACAGUUUACGUGACAGAAAGAAAACAUCUACUGUCUACUGCUUGUUCUGUGACACAAAGAUGAAUGACCAAGUCAAAGACUAUGUUAUUUGCAUCUUACUUAUCUUUUGCAGAACAAAGAAUCACUUGAUAAUGUACUGUCUUUUUUUUGUUUUUGUUUUUUUUCCUUUUACAUUUGCUUUUUUUAAAAAGCAAUGUACUUACUGACACCAGGCCAUGAACUUCAAGUUUUAUAUUUUCUUAAAAGGCAAAUAAUUGAGCUCAGAUUAAAUCAAACCUUGGCAAAUGUCUUGAGAAAUAAUGACUUGUCAGUCAUUAUUCCAUUUUGAACUUUUCAAAUUUUGUCACCAGCCAUCCUGUGACCUGAUCAUAGGUUGCGUUCCUUUAUUGGAAGCAAUGAUCUGGCAAAAAAUGCAUUUCAAAUGAAAACGUGAUCUGUUCACUAGUUCUUUAAAGGUACCCUUUGGAUUUUGUUGAUCAAGCCAUUCCAGUGCAUAAUCUUAAUAUUCAGUCAUUAUUUAAUUUUCUCAGAAUGUGUUUACAGAGCUGCAAAGGCACUUGGUGCUUCAACUUAAAGGCCAUUCAUUUUAGCUUAUCUGCAAAGGCAGCUAGUUGAUUUUGAGAGACUAGCAUGUGAAUGGUAUGUUAGCGCAUUCUUACUUGAACUGUAUGGAAACAGGAUGGAUAUCGAGUAAAUGUCUAUCUUAAUCAUAAUGUGAGAUUGGAAUUGUACAAAAGCAGCAUUUGCAAAAGUGGAAUGGCUACAUUAUUACCACAGGAGUAGAGUGUGUGUUAAUGCUACCACUGCAAUGGUCCCAUGCUAGUGUUUUUUGUUUUGGUCAAGGAGACAAAAUCUACAGAAGGCUUUUUUUUUUUUUUUUUCACGCAAAUCAUAAAACAAUCUUUUUUUUUUUCACUUAAUUUUCUUGGUCUCUUUUUUUUUCUUUCAAGCUGCGUUAAAAAAGACAUACAGACGUAAGGCGUAACUCGUUUGAGGCACAGUUCCACCCGCCAUUAAACUCACGGCUGGGUGUUGUUCCCCUUUGGAAGCUAAGCGGUCAGCUGAGGCUAACUGUAGAAUAUGGUAGGAUAUCAAAAAACAUAGGAGCUUCACAAGGUGUGGCUUUUGAAGCAUAAUUACUUUUUUUUGUUUUUGUUGUAGUCAUUCUUUGAUACAACUAAUGUUACCAUCUGAUUGGGUGCUGUUCGAUGCUUGUUCCAUUCUGACUGUGUAUUUUGGCAGCUAAUGUGAGGAAAUCUAGAGUUUGGGUUGCUGUUAGUGUACUGUGGAGACUAUAUCAGUGGUUCGUGGCCGAGUCGUCGAGGGGUGUCCCCCCCUAGGCAGGCGGCAUAAUUUUUUCUCAAGGAGAAAGUCAUUUGGGAGUGGGCAUGAGAAGUCUUUUGACUGAAGUGCAAUAUAUUCACUUUCAACUGUGUUGUGCCUUGAUAUAUUUCAAAUUCUUAGCCCAAUACCAAUGCACUGACAGUGUUGUGGUAACAGAAGUUGUGUGGUGCUACAAGUUGGGUCUAGAUUCUCUUACAUUACACCCAUCAAGUUUUAUUAAAGUUAUUUUAUUGAUUGCACGUGUGCAGUUUUAUAGAUGUCUCGUACAUGUCCUUAUGUGUAAAGAUUGUUAAAACGCAGCUUGUUUACAAAAGGGGAAAGGGUUCUCAGUAUUUUACCUGGGUUUAUUUGGGACCAGGAAAUUGGCAGUGGAGAAUUUAGCCAUUUGCACAGAUUACUAGAUUCUACUUUUGCUGCUAGACUGUAAUUUAUUAAGCAUUUUUGAAAAGUAUUUAUUUUUAUAUGCCUAAAAAGUGAUACUUUCAAUUAACUUGACCAAAAGACGGUAAAAACACUGGCACUUGAAUGUUUGUCACCUGAGUGAAAGUUGUUUAUUGGGAUAGUGUGAGGUUGUUAGUGUCAACUAUCGGCCUCGUGUGCAUUUGGAUCAAUUCAAUUUGGCUGUCAAAAUUUGAAAGCUUACCACCAUGCCAAGGUUUGGAAAGAAAAAAAAAAUAACAGUACAUUGUUGUCAGUAAAUAGUGUUUUGUUUUGUUUUUUUAGCCCCUUUUCCCCCACCCCACCCUUUAUAACUGGCACAUGAGAAAUUUAUAAAAGAAAGCAUCCUACAUGUGGUGUAUUAUAAUGUUCAGAUGGAUUAUUUGGGCAUCCUGAGGAGGAGGCCCUCUUUGAUGUGUGUGCUACUCUAGCAGCCAAGUGAGACUUUUUAUUGGGCUUCUCACUCCCUGUAGAGGUUAGUAUUUGCUUUACGGAAUAGUGUAGAUACUAUGCACUACAUGAAGACAACUGUCAAUUGUAAGAUUUUACCAAAUUAAAUUUUGACAUUGCAAAUGCA